This 778-nucleotide ribosomal RNA is filed under the name Escherichia coli. Its description in RNAcentral is "partial 23S ribosomal RNA". It matches the Rfam family "Bacterial large subunit ribosomal RNA", at positions 354 to 1135 of the family's 2925-position model. Lineage: Bacteria; Pseudomonadati; Pseudomonadota; Gammaproteobacteria; Enterobacterales; Enterobacteriaceae. The record is from RNAcentral.
GCGAUACAGGGUGACAGCCCCGUACACAAAAAUGCACAUGCUGUGAGCUCGAUGAGUAGGGCGGGACACGUGGUAUCCUGUCUGAAUAUGGGGGGACCAUCCUCCAAGGCUAAAUACUCCUGACUGACCGAUAGUGAACCAGUACCGUGAGGGAAAGGCGAAAAGAACCCCGGCGAGGGGAGUGAAAAAGAACCUGAAACCGUGUACGUACAAGCAGUGGGAGCACGCUUAGGCGUGUGACUGCGUACCUUUUGUAUAAUGGGUCAGCGACUUAUAUUCUGUAGCAAGGUUAACCGAAUAGGGGAGCCGAAGGGAAACCGAGUCUUAACUGGGCGUUAAGUUGCAGGGUAUAGACCCGAAACCCGGUGAUCUAGCCAUGGGCAGGUUGAAGGUUGGGUAACACUAACUGGAGGACCGAACCGACUAAUGUUGAAAAAUUAGCGGAUGACUUGUGGCUGGGGGUGAAAGGCCAAUCAAACCGGGAGAUAGCUGGUUCUCCCCGAAAGCUAUUUAGGUAGCGCCUCGUGAAUUCAUCUCCGGGGGUAGAGCACUGUUUCGGCAAGGGGGUCAUCCCGACUUACCAACCCGAUGCAAACUGCGAAUACCGGAGAAUGUUAUCACGGGAGACACACGGCGGGUGCUAACGUCCGUCGUGAAGAGGGAAACAACCCAGACCGCCAGCUAAGGUCCCAAAGUCAUGGUUAAGUGGGAAACGAUGUGGGAAGGCCCAGACAGCCAGGAUGUUGGCUUAGAAGCAGCCAUCAUUUAAAGAAAGCGU